Acanthosepion pharaonis is the source of this 89-nucleotide non-coding RNA. The record is from the annotation of a GenBank genome assembly. NCBI's taxonomy places the organism in Eukaryota, Metazoa, Mollusca, Cephalopoda, Sepiida, Sepiidae.
CCGUUCCUGUACGAUCACUGAAGUUAAGCGAUGCCGAGCCUGGUCAAUACCUAGAUGGGUGACCACAUGGGAAUACCACGUGCUGUAAG